AAUAUUGGUCAAUGGCGGCAAAUCUGAACCAGCCACGUCGCGUGAAGGAUGACGGCCCUACGGGUUGUAAACUUCUUUUUUACAGGAAUAAAGUGAGGCACGUGUGACUUUUUGCAUGUACUGUAUGAAUAAGGAUCGGCUAACUCCCUGCCAGCAGCCGCGGUAAUACGGAGGAUCCACGCGUUAUCCGGAUUUAUUGGGUGUAAAGGUUCGAAGGCGGAAGAUAAAGUCGGCGGUGAAAUUUUGCAGCUCAACUGUAAAAGUGCCAUCGAUACUGGUUUUCUUGAGUGUGGAUGAAGUAGGCGGAAUUUGUGGUGUAGCGCUGAAAUGCAUAGAUAUCACGAGGAACUCCGAUUGCGCAGGCAGCUUACUAGGCCAUAACUGACGCUCAGGCACGAAGGCGUGGGGAUCAAACAGG
Molecule: ribosomal RNA, 418 nt
Filed under: uncultured bacterium
Lineage: Bacteria
Description: partial 16S ribosomal RNA
Rfam family: Bacterial small subunit ribosomal RNA
Source: RNAcentral